Molecule: ribosomal RNA, 256 nt
Filed under: uncultured bacterium
Lineage: Bacteria
Description: partial 16S ribosomal RNA
Rfam family: Bacterial small subunit ribosomal RNA
Source: RNAcentral
UACGGAGGGGGCUAGCGUUGUUCGGAAUUACUGGGCGUAAAGCGCACGUAGGCGGCUUUGUAAGUUAGAGGUGAAAGCCCAGGGCUUAACCCUGGAAUUGCCUUUAAGACUGCAUCGCUAGAAUCGUGGAGAGGUGAGUGGAAUUCCGAGUUGAUGAAGGUAGUAAUCGCAGAUAUCAGGAAGAACACCUAUGGCGAAGGCAGCUCUCUGGGACGGUACUGACGCUGGAGACGCGAAAGCGUGGGGAGCGAACAGG